CCGAGUUUACAACUCCCAAACCCCUGUGAAUAUACCAUCGUUGCUUCGGCGGAUCGCCCCGGGCGCUUUUGUGCCCCGGAGUCAGGUGCCCGCCGGAGGACCCAAAACUCAACUGUAUUUUUUGUAUCAAAACGUAUUCUGAGUGGAAUUUUAAAUAAAUCA
RNAcentral lists this unclassified non-coding RNA (162 nucleotides) under uncultured Bionectriaceae. Its description in RNAcentral is "sequence contains ITS1". Lineage: Eukaryota; Fungi; Ascomycota; Sordariomycetes; Hypocreales. The record is from RNAcentral.